RNAcentral lists this ribosomal RNA (253 nucleotides) under uncultured bacterium. Its description in RNAcentral is "partial 16S ribosomal RNA". It matches the Rfam family "Bacterial small subunit ribosomal RNA", at positions 524 to 776 of the family's 1533-position model. The record is from RNAcentral.
UACAGAGGUCUCAACCGUUGUUCGGAUUCAUUGGGCGUAAAGGGUGCGUAGGCGGUCGUGCAAGUCGGAUGUGAAAUCUCAGGGCUCAACCCUGAAACUGCAUUCGAUACUGCGCGGCUAGAGUCCUGGAGGGGAGACUGGAAUUUACGGUGUAGCAGUGAAAUGCGUAGAUAUCGUAAGGAAGACCAGUGGCGAAGGCGAGUCUCUGGACAGCAACUGACGCUGAGGCACGAAGGCCAGGGGAGCAAACGGG